AUACGGAGGAUCCGAGCGUUAUCCGGAUUUAUUGGGUUUAAAGGGUGCGCAGGCGGCCAUUUAAGUCAGCGGUUAAAUCGUGGGGCUCAACCCCAUUCUGCCGUUGAUACUGGGUGGCUUGAUUGCGGUCGAGGUUGGCGGAAUUCGUUGUGUAGCGGUGAAAUGCAUAGAUAUGACGAAGAACACCGAUUGCGUAGGCAGCUGACCAGACCGCAAAUGACGCUCAUGCACGAAAGUGCGGGGAACGAACAGGAUUAGAUACCCUGGUAGUCCGCACAGUAAACGAUGAAUACUUGUUUUCGGCGAUAUAAUGUCGGAGGCAAAGCGAAAGCGAUAAGUAUUCCACCUGGGGAGUACGCCGGCAACGGUGAAACUCAAAGGAAUUGACGGGG
This 392-nucleotide ribosomal RNA is filed under the name uncultured bacterium. RNAcentral describes it as "partial 16S ribosomal RNA". It matches the Rfam family "Bacterial small subunit ribosomal RNA", at positions 523 to 918 of the family's 1533-position model. The record is from RNAcentral.